Molecule: small nuclear RNA, 102 nt
Organism: Acomys russatus (golden spiny mouse)
Lineage: Eukaryota; Metazoa; Chordata; Mammalia; Rodentia; Muridae
Source: RefSeq, a predicted model, not a curated record
GUGCUUGCAUUAGCAGCACAUAAACUAAAAUUGGAAUGAGAAGAUUAGCAUGACCCCUUCGCAAGGAUGGCAUGCAAAUUUUGAUAGUGUUCUCUAUAUUUU